Molecule: ribosomal RNA, 1237 nt
Filed under: Escherichia coli
Lineage: Bacteria; Pseudomonadati; Pseudomonadota; Gammaproteobacteria; Enterobacterales; Enterobacteriaceae
Description: partial 23S ribosomal RNA
Rfam family: Bacterial large subunit ribosomal RNA
Source: RNAcentral
GGGUUGUGAGGUUAAGCGACUAAGCGUACACGGUGGAUGCCCUGGCAGUCAGAGGCGAUGAAGGACGUGCUAAUCUGCGAUAAGCGUCGGUAAGGUGAUAUGAACCGUUAUAACCGGCGAUUUCCGAAUGGGGAAACCCAGUGUGAUUCGUCACACUAUCAUUAACUGAAUCCAUAGGUUAAUGAGGCGAACCGGGGGAACUGAAACAUCUAAGUACCCCGAGGAAAAGAAAUCAACCGAGAUUCCCCCAGUAGCGGCGAGCGAACGGGGAGCAGCCCAGAGCCUGAAUCAGUGUGUGUGUUAGUGGAAGUGUCUGGAAAGGCGCGCGAUACAGGGUGACAGCCCCGUACACAAAAAUGCACAUACUGUGAGCUCGAUGAGUAGGGCGGGACACGUGGUAUCCUGUCUGAAUAUGGGGGGACCAUCCUCCAAGGCUAAAUACUCCUGACUGACCGAUAGUGAACCAGUACCGUGAGGGAAAGGCGAAAAGAACCCCGGCGAGGGGAGUGAAAAAGAACCUGAAACCGUGUACGUACAAGCAGUGGGAGCACGCUUCGGCGUGUGACUGCGUACCUUUUGUAUAAUGGGUCAGCGACUUAUAUUCUGUAGCAAGGUUAACCGAAUAGGGGAGCCGAAGGGAAACCGAGUCUUAACUGGGCGUUAAGUUGCAGGGUAUAGACCCGAAACCCGGUGAUCUAGCCAUGGGCAGGUUGAAGGUUGGGUAACACUAACUGGAGGACCGAACCGACUAAUGUUGAAAAAUUAGCGGAUGACUUGUGGCUGGGGGUGAAAGGCCAAUCAAACCGGGAGAUAGCUGGUUCUCCCCGAAAGCUAUUUAGGUAGCGCCUCGUGAAUUCAUCUCCGGGGGUAGAGCACUGUUUCGGCAAGGGGGUCAUCCCGACUUACCAACCCGAUGCAAACUGCGAAUACCGGAGAAUGUUAUUACGGGAGACACACGGCGGGUGCUAACGUCCGUCGUGAAGAGGGAAACAACCCAGACCGCCAGCUAAGGUCCCAAAGUCAUGGUUAAGUGGGAAACGAUGUGGGAAGGCCCAGACAGCCAGGAUGUUGGCUUAGAAGCAGCCAUCAUUUAAAGAAAGCGUAAUAGCUCACUGGUCGAGUCGGCCUGCGCGGAAGAUGUAACGGGGCUAAACCAUGCACCGAAGCUGCGGCAGCGACACUAUGUGUUGUUGGGUAGGGGAGCGUUCUGUAAGCCUGUGAAGGUGGCCUGUGAGGG